GACGAACGCUGGCGGCGUGCUUAACACAUGCAAGUCGAACGGAAAGGCCCUGCUUUUGUGGGGUGCUCGAGUGGCGAACGGGUGAGUAACACGUGAGUAACCUGCCCUUGACUUUGGGAUAACUUCAGGAAACUGGGGCUAAUACCGGAUAGGAGCUCCUGCUGCAUGGUGUGGGUUGGAAAGUUUCGGCGGUUGGGGAUGGACUCGCGGCUUAUCAGCUUGUUGGUGGGGUAGUUGCUUACCAAGGCUUUGACGGGUAGCCGGCCUGAGAGGGUGACCGGCCACAUUGGGACUGAGAUACGGCCCAGACUCCUACGGGAGGCAGCAGUGGGGAAUAUUGCACAAUGGGCGGAAGCCUGAUGCAGCAACGCCGCGUGCGGGAUGACGGCCUUCGGGUUGUAAACCGCUUUCGCCUGUGACGAAGCGUGAGUGACGGUAAUGGGUAAAGAAGCACCGGCUAACUACGUG
Molecule: ribosomal RNA, 468 nt
Filed under: uncultured bacterium
Lineage: Bacteria
Description: partial 16S ribosomal RNA
Rfam family: Bacterial small subunit ribosomal RNA
Source: RNAcentral